AGAGUUUGAUCCUGGCUCAGGACGAACGCUGGCGGCAUGCCUAAUACAUGCAAGUCGAACGCGACCAGCCGGUGCUUGCACUGGCGAAGUCGAGUGGCGAACGGGUGAGUAACACGUGAGAAACCUACCCUGGAGUGGGGAAUAACUCGAAGAAAUUCGAGCUAAUACCGCAUACCUUCUUACCGUCGAAUGGUGGUUUGAAGAAAGAUUUAUCGCUCUGGGAGGGUCUCGCGGCCUAUCAGCUAGUUGGUGAGGUAACGGCUCACCAAGGCAUCGACGGGUAGCUGGUCUGAGAGGACGAUCAGCCACACUGGAACUGAGACACGGUCCAGACUCCUACGGGAGGCAGCAGUAGGGAAUCUUGCGCAAUGGGCGAAAGCCUGACGCAGCAAUGCCGCGUGCGGGACGAAGGCCCUAGGGUCGUAAACCGCUUUCAGUAGGGACGAAAAUGACGGUACCUGCAGAAGAAGCUCCGGCCAACUACGUGCCAGCAGCCGCGGUGAUACGUAGGGAGCAAGCGUUGUCCGGAAUUACUGGGCGUAAAGGGCUCGUAGGUGGUUGAGUAAGUCAGAUGUGAAAUCUCAGGGCCCAACCCUGAGCGUGCAUUUGAUACUGCUCUGACUAGAGUCCGGUAGGGGAGUGCGGAACUCCUGGUGUAGCGGUGAAAUGCGCAGAUAUCAGGAAGAACACCGACAGCGAAGGCAGCACUCUGGGCCGGUACUGACACUGAGGAGCGAAAGCAUGGGUAGCAAACAGGAUUAGAUACCCUGGUAGUCCAUGCCGUAAACGUUGGGCACUAGGUGUGGGGAGAACUCAACUCUCUCCGCGCCGUAGCUAACGCAUUAAGUGCCCCGCCUGGGGAGUACGGCCGCAAGGCUAAAACUCAAAGGAAUUGACGGGGGCCCGCACAAGCGGUGGAGCAUGUGGUUCAAUUCGACGCAACGCGAAGAACCUUACCUGGGCUUGAACUGUAGAUGACAUCCGGCGAAAGCCGGCUUCCGCAAGGACAUCUGCAGAGGUGCUGCAUGGCUGUCGUCAGCUCGUGUCGUGAGAUGUUGGGUUAAGUCCCGCAACGAGCGCAACCCUCGUCCUCUGUUGCCAUCAGGUUAAGCUGGGCACUCUGAGGAGACUGCCGGUGAUAAACCGGAGGAAGGUGGGGAUGACGUCAAGUCAGCAUGGCCUUUAUGUCCAGGGCUACACACGUGCUACAAUGGUCGGUACAAAGCGUCGCAAGCCCGCGAGGGUGAGCUAAUCGCAUAAAGCCGGUCUCAGUUCGGAUUGUAGGCUGCAACUCGCCUGCAUGAAGUUGGAAUCGCUAGUAAUCGCGGAUCAGCAUGCCGCGGUGAAUACGUUCCCGGGCCUUGUACACACCGCCCGUCACAUCACGAAAGCUGGCUGUACUAGAAGUAACUGCGCUAACCCGCAAGGGAGGCAGGUUCCUAAGGUAUGGUUAGUGAUUGGGGUGAAGUCGUAACAAGGUAACCGU
This 1486-nucleotide ribosomal RNA is filed under the name uncultured bacterium. RNAcentral describes it as "bacterial SSU rRNA". It matches the Rfam family "Bacterial small subunit ribosomal RNA". The record is from RNAcentral.